Molecule: ribosomal RNA, 468 nt
Filed under: uncultured bacterium
Lineage: Bacteria
Description: partial 16S ribosomal RNA
Rfam family: Bacterial small subunit ribosomal RNA
Source: RNAcentral
GACGAACGCUGGCGGCGUGCUUAACACAUGCAAGUCGAACGGAAAGGCCCUGCUUUUGUGGGAUGCUCGAGUGGCGAACGGGUGAGUAACACGUGAGUAACCUGCCCUUGAAUUUGGGAUAACUUCAGGAAAAUGGGGCUAAUACCGGAUAGGAGAUCCUGCUGCAUGGUGGGGGUUGGAAAGUUUCGGCGGGUGGGGAUGGACUCGCGGCUUACCAGUUUGUUGGUGGGGUAGUGGCUUACCAAGGUAUUGACGGGUAGCCGGCCUGGGAGGGUGACCGGCCACAUUGGGACUGAGAGAGGGACCAGACUCCUACGGGAGGCAGCGGUGGGGAGUAUGGCACAGUGGGCGGAAGCCUGAUGCGGCAACGCCGGGUGCGGGAUGACGGCCUUCGGGUUGUAAACCGCUUUCGCCUGUGACGAAGCGUGAGUGACGGUAAUGGAUAAAGAAGCACCGGCUAACUACGUG